Molecule: microRNA precursor, 102 nt
Organism: Notamacropus eugenii (tammar wallaby)
Lineage: Eukaryota; Metazoa; Chordata; Mammalia; Diprotodontia; Macropodidae
Gene: MIR425
Product: microRNA 425
Source: Ensembl
GGAUAGAAAGCGCUUUGGAAUGACACGAUCACUCCCGUUGAGCGGACAGCCAAGAAGCCAUCGGGCAUAUCGUGUCUGUCCAAUGCCCUUUCGGCGCCUCCC